Molecule: ribosomal RNA, 245 nt
Filed under: uncultured bacterium
Lineage: Bacteria
Description: partial 16S ribosomal RNA
Rfam family: Bacterial small subunit ribosomal RNA
Source: RNAcentral
AACGUAGGAGGCAAGCGUUAUCCGGAUUUACUGGGCGUAAAGCGCGUGCAGGUGGCCACGCAAGUUGGAUGUGAAAGCUCCCGGCUCAACUGGGAGAGGUCGUUCAAUACUGCGUGGCUCGAGGGUGGUGGAGGGAGGUGGAAUUCCGGGUGUAGUGGUGAAAUGCGUAGAUAUCCGGAGGAACACCAGUGGCGAAAGCGGCCUUCUGGACCAUGCUUGACACUCAGACGCGAAAGCUAGGGUAG